GACGAACGCUGGCGGCGUGCUUAACACAUGCAAGUCGAACGGUGAAGCUCCAGCUUGCUGGAGUGGAUCAGUGGCGAACGGGUGAGUAACACGUGAGCAACCUGCCCCUGACUCUGGAAUAAGCGCUGGAAACGGCGUCUAAUACUGGAUACGAGAAGGGUCCGCAUGGGCACUUUCUGGAAAGUUUUUCGGUUGGGGAUGGGCUCGCGGCCUAUCAGCUUGUUGGUGAGGUAAUGGCUCACCAAGGCGACGACGGGUAGCCGGCCUGAGAGGGCGACCGGCCACACUGGGACUGAGACACGACCCAGACUCCUACGGGAGGCAGCAGUGGGGAAUAUUGCACAAUGGGCGAAAGCCUGAUGCAGCGACGCCGCGUGAGGGAUGACGGCCUUCGGGUUGUAAACCUCUUUCAGCAGGGAAGAAGCGAAAGUGACGGUACCUGCAGAAGAAGCACCGGCUAACUACGUG
Molecule: ribosomal RNA, 468 nt
Filed under: uncultured bacterium
Lineage: Bacteria
Description: partial 16S ribosomal RNA
Rfam family: Bacterial small subunit ribosomal RNA
Source: RNAcentral